Molecule: ribosomal RNA, 482 nt
Filed under: uncultured bacterium
Lineage: Bacteria
Description: partial 16S ribosomal RNA
Rfam family: Bacterial small subunit ribosomal RNA
Source: RNAcentral
AUUGAACGCUGGCGGCAUGCUUUACACAUGCAAGUCGAACGGUAACAGGCCGCAAGGUGCUGACGAGUGGCGAACGGGUGAGUAAUGCAUCGGAACGUGCCCAGUCGUGGGGGAUAACUACUCGAAAGAGUAGCUAAUACCGCAUACGAUCUAUGGAUGAAAGCGGGGGACCGUAAGGCCUCGCGCGAUUGGAGCGGCCGAUGUCAGAUUAGGUAGUUGGUGGGGUAAAGGCUCACCAAGCCAACGAUCUGUAGCUGGUCUGAGAGGACAACCAGCCACACUGGGACUGAGACACGGCCCAGACUCCUACGGGAGGCAGCAGGGGGGAAUUUUGGACAAUGGGCGCAAGCCUGAUCCAGCAAUGCCGCGUGCAGGAAGAAGGCCUUCGGGUUGUAAACUGCUUUUGUACGGAACGAAACGGCUCUGGUUAAUACCCGGGGCUAAUGACGGUACCGUAAGAAUAAGCACCGGCUAACUACGUG